Molecule: ribosomal RNA, 444 nt
Filed under: uncultured bacterium
Lineage: Bacteria
Description: bacterial SSU rRNA
Rfam family: Bacterial small subunit ribosomal RNA
Source: RNAcentral
AACGAACGCUGGCGGCAGGCCUAACACAUGCAAGUCGAGCGCUGUAGCAAUACAGAGCGGCGCACGGGUGAGUAACACGUGGGAACGUGCCCUUCGGUUCGGAAUAACUCAGGGAAACUUGAGCUAAUACCGGAUACGUCCUUUGGGAGAAAGAUUUAUCGCCGAGGGAGCGGCCCGCGUAGGAUUAGCUAGUUGGUGAGGUAAUGGCUCACCAAGGCUCCGAUCCUUAGCUGGUUUGAGAGAACGACCAGCCACACUGGGACUGAGACACGGCCCAGACUCCUACGGGAGGCAGCAGUGGGGAAUCUUGGACAAUGGGGGAAACCCGUGAUCCAGCCAUGCCGCGUGAGUGAUGAAGGCCUUAGGGUUGUAAAACUCUUUCGGCGGGGACGAUAAUGACGGUACCCGCAGAAGAAGCUCCGGCUAACUUCGUGACAGCCGCCG